Molecule: ribosomal RNA, 790 nt
Filed under: uncultured bacterium
Lineage: Bacteria
Description: bacterial SSU rRNA
Rfam family: Bacterial small subunit ribosomal RNA
Source: RNAcentral
AGAGUUUGAUCAUGGCUCAGAUUGAACGCUGGCGGCAUGCCUUACACAUGCAAGUCGAGCGGCAGCGCGGGGGCAACCCUGGCGGCGAGCGGCGAACGGGUGAGUAAUGCAUCGGAACGUGUCCUCUUGUGGGGGAUAACCAGUCGAAAGACUGGCUAAUACCGCAUGAGAUCGAGAGAUGAAAGCAGGGGACCGCAAGGCCCUGCGCGAGAGGAGCGGCCGAUGCCGGAUUAGCUAGUUGGUGGGGUAACGGCCUACCAAGGCAACGAUCCGUAGCUGGUCUGAGAGGACGACCAGCCACACUGGGACUGAGACACGGCCCAGACUCCUACGGGAGGCAGCAGUGGGGAAUUUUGGACAAUGGGGGCAACCCUGAUCCAGCCAUGCCGCGUGUGUGAAGAAGGCCUUCGGGUUGUAAAGCACUUUCGGACGGAACGAAAUCGCGCGGGUUAAUAGUCCGCGUGGAUGACGGUACCGUAAGAAGAAGCACCGGCUAACUACGUGCCAGCAGCCGCGGUAAUACGUAGGGUGCGAGCGUUAAUCGGAAUUACUGGGCGUAAAGUGUGCGCAGGCGGCGCUGCAAGUCGAGUGUGAAAUCCCCGAGCUUAACUUGGGAAUUGCGCUCGAAACUAUGGCGCUGGAGUAUGGCAGAGGAAGGUGGAAUUCCACGUAGCGGUGAAAUGCGUAGAGAUGUGGAGGAACACCGAUGGCGAAGGCAGCCUUCUGGGCCAAUACUGACGCUCAUGCACGAAAGCGUGGGGAGCAAAAGGAUUAGAUACCCNNGUAGUCC